This 453-nucleotide ribosomal RNA is filed under the name uncultured Porphyromonadaceae bacterium. Its description in RNAcentral is "partial 16S ribosomal RNA". It matches the Rfam family "Bacterial small subunit ribosomal RNA", at positions 341 to 792 of the family's 1533-position model. The record is from RNAcentral. Lineage: Bacteria; Pseudomonadati; Bacteroidota; Bacteroidia; Bacteroidales; Porphyromonadaceae.
ACGGGAGGCAGCAGUGAGGAAUAUUGGUCAAUGGGCGAGAGCCUGAACCAGCCAAGUCGCGUGAAGGAUGAAGGUUCUAUGGAUUGUAAACUUCUUUUGUUCGAGGGUAAAGUGAGGGAUGCGUCCCUUAUUGCAAGUAUCGAACGAAUAAGCAUCGGCUAACUCCGUGCCAGCAGCCGCGGUAAUACGGAGGAUGCGAGCGUUAUCCGGAUUUAUUGGGUUUAAAGGGUGCGUAGGCGGGAUGUUAAGUCAGCGGUGAAAGCGUGUAGCUCAACUAUACCAAGCCGUUGAAACUGGCGUUCUUGAGUGUAAACGAGGUAGGCGGAAUGUGACGUGUAGCGGUGAAAUGCUUAGAUAUGACGAAGAACUCCGAUUGGGAAGCCAGCUUACUGUAGCGCCACUGACGCUGAUGCUCGAAAGCGUGGGUAUCGAACAGGAUUAGAUACCCUGGUA